AGGCAGCAGUGGGGAAUUUUCCGCAAUGGGCGAAAGCCUGACGGAGCAAUACCGCGUGAGGGAGGAAGGCUCUUGGGUUGUAAACCUCUUUUCUCAGGGAAGAACAAAAUGACGGUACCUGAGGAAUAAGCAUCGGCUAACUCCGUGCCAGCAGCCGCGGUAAUACGGAGGAUGCAAGCGUUAUCCGGAAUUAUUGGGCGUAAAGCGUCCGCAGGUGGCAGUUCAAGUCUGCUGUCAAAGGUCAGGGCUCAACCCUGAACAGGCAGUGGAAACUGAACAGCUAGAGUGCGGUAGGGGCAGAGGGAAUUCCCAGUGUAGUGGUGAAAUGCGUAGAGAUUGGGAAGAACACCGGUGGCGAAAGCGCUCUGCUAGGCCUGCACUGACACUCAGGGACGAAAGCUAGGGGAGCGAAUGGGAUUAGAUACCCCAGUAGUCCUAGCCGUAAACGAUGGAUACUAGGCGUGAGCUUGUAUCGACCCAAGCUGUGCCGUAGCUAACGCGUUAAGUAUCCCGCCUGGGGAGUACGCGCGUAAGCGUGAAACUCAAAUGAAUUGACGG
This 558-nucleotide ribosomal RNA is filed under the name uncultured cyanobacterium. RNAcentral's name for it is "bacterial SSU rRNA". It matches the Rfam family "Bacterial small subunit ribosomal RNA", at positions 346 to 916 of the family's 1533-position model. The record is from RNAcentral. Lineage: Bacteria; Bacillati; Cyanobacteriota.